UAUCAGACGAAUUGGUGGAAAAUAUAAAUCGGAAUCGGAAUCGGCAAAAUGCAAAUAUUUGCAAUAUUAAAUAUAUUUUAUUCUAAUUAUUAAUAACGGCGGCAUUAAAAUGUAAAAAGUGAAGCACAUAGUGAUAUAAUAUUUAUAAGUGUAAUAAAUCUAGUCAAAUAUGCAAUGACAAUCAGAUAAAAAAGGAAAGGGAAGGCGUAGAAUUACGCUGCCCAAAUUCAUUCAUUAAUAAAAAGCAAAGUUUUGCAAAAAAAAAGAUGAAAUAUAUAUGUUAUGCGUAAUGAAAGCAGUGCUAAGUGUUAACUAAACUUAAUUAAUUUAUAUUUCUCAAGUUGAAAUACCAAAAUUUAUACUUUAAAAACAAGGCAAAAUCAAUUUGUACUGAAACUGUGAGGUGUGGAAAAUCGAGGUUGUGGGUGGUGGGUUACAGACGAACUAUCUGGGCAGGACAUCGUCGUUGCGGUUAAAGAAGACAUUGAGAAUCAGGUUGAAACCACUUUCCCACGCCCACAUAACGCACAUAUUUCCGUAAUAGUGGCACGUCAUCGUACUCCUAAUAGUUUACAUUCGUUAAAAAAAAGUCUAGAAUACAUAUGCAAAAAGUAAAAGUUGAUAAAUAAAGGCAACCAGCUAACUGUGCCGCGUUGAACGACUUAAUUAAAUACAAAUAAACUAAAGUCACAAUGGACGACGACACAAUGCUCAAUAACCAUGGCCCUCAGCCUGGCGCUGAGACGGUUUAUGGGACUGAGGACAACAAUAUGGUUAUGUCGGAGAAGAAUGAUCAGGUUGUGAGCAUCGUGCAACAAUUAGCUGGUAGUAUAUACCAAGAAUUCGAACGCAUGAUCAAUCGUUAUGAUGAAGAUGUAGUUAAAAAUCUUAUGCCGUUGCUGGUGAAUGUCUUGGAAUGUCUGGACGCAUCGUAUCGCAUUAACCAGGAACAGGAUGUUGAAUUGGAGUUGCUGCGUGAAGACAACGAGCAGUUGGUAACACAAUAUGAGCGAGAAAAGAGUGCACGAAAACAAUCGGAGCAAAAGCUGCUCGAAGCCGAAGAUGUGGCCGAACAGGAAAAUAAAGAUCUGGCGAGCCGCCUGGAAUCAUUGGAAAGCAUUGUACGCAUGCUUGAGUUGAAGCAUAAAAAUAGCUUAGAGCAUGCGAGUCGCUUGGAGGAACGUGAAACUGAAUUGAAAAAGGAGUAUAACAAGCUACAUGAACGCUAUACGGAGCUUUUCAAAAAUCAUGUUGACUACAUGGAACGUACCAAAAUGCUCAUGGGUUCGACACACUCACAAAUGAGUUCAGCGUCGGAGCGCUUGGAAGUGAAUAGAGCCAGAUUAAAUCCUAUCGCACGGUCCUCCGGUCCAGUGUCAUAUGGCUUCGCUUCGCUCGAGAACUCAGUCAUGUUAGAUACAGAGACAAUCUGUAGUGUUGGCAGCAAUUCGGAUGAUUCUGGUCCGCCAUCAUUGCAAAAUGAAUUGGAUAGUUUGCAGACAGUUGAACGUGCGGCUGAGACAGACACGCUGCAGCAACAGAAUCAAGCUACAUCGCCGCAAAGCGAAACGAGUCCCGUUGUGCCAAAUGCACCAGCGAGUGUUGGGCGUUCAACAACCAAAAAGGAGCAACGCUCUGCUAAUACCCUAUACCAAGAGUUGUCCUUUCAAGAUAACGAAGAGAGUGAAGAGCAUGAAGUUGUUACAGGCAGCUGGGUGCAUCCUGGAGAAUAUGCUUCUUCGGCUAACGACAACUAUUUUGGCAUGGGCAAGGAAGUGGAAAAUCUCAUCAUGGAGAACAAUGAACUUUUGGCAACGAAGAAUGCUUUGAACAUUGUUAAGGAUGAUUUGAUCGCCAAAGUGGAUGAGCUCACAGGCGAGAUAGAAAUAUUACGCGAAGAAUUAAAUGCAAUGCAACAAUCGCGCAACAAACUGCGACAGAAAGUGAGUGAAUUGGAGGAAGAACUGAAAAAGACAAAGGAACAAGUGAAGCAACAAAAUGACACUGAACAGGAUGAGAACGAUGUUCCAUUAGCCCAACGCAAACGCUUUACACGCGUGGAAAUGGCAAUGGUUUUGAUGGAGCGAAAUCAAUACAAGGAACGUCUAAUGGAAUUACAAGAAGCUGUACGUUUAACCGAAAUUUUACGUGCAUCUCGUACUGUUGACAAUUUGGACAAAAAGUCGAAGCAAAGCAUUUGGAAAUAUUUCAGUAGUUUAUUCACCCCCUCCAAUCGCCCGCAGGAGCGUGUCGCUGACGGGCAGGGAGGGGGGCCUAUGUUUCGUUACUCCAGCCCAGUACACAGCCACGGAUCCCCCAGUCGAAAUAGCGACAAUCGCCUUGCCAUAACGGGCGCACGUGACAAUGCUAAUCCACCACCACAUCCCGCCAGCGCGGGCUUAGCAAAUGCCUUGAUGAUGGCAAAAGACUACUCAGAGGAGGGCACAUCCGAACGUGCAAGUGCACGACGGCGCGAACAGUACCGUCAGUUGCGUGCGCAUGUGCAGAAAGAGGAUGGCCGUUUGCAGGCUUAUGGUUGGAGUUUGCCCAUAAACAAGGCGAACCAAGAACAACCAAAUCGUCAUUCUGGCGGCGUGCCAGUGCCAGUCUACUGUAAUCCUUUAGCGGAGGCAUCACCGCAUAUGAAGGUGUUCUGCGCAGCAGGUGUUAAUCUUAACGGCGGUUUUACCAAAGAUGGUCAUUCGGUUAUACCGGCGAGUUCACCGUACGCGCCACGUUCGACAGCAAAAAUUGCAGAGAUUACCAGCCCGACAGCAGAGCAUUCGGCUGAAGCACUCGAUCGCCAGAUAAAUCGUGCGAGUUUGGCUAAUUUGGAACCAGAAACGCAGUUGUCCUCCUAUGUGUGGAUAUGCACGAGUACGCAUGCUGCGAGCACUGUGACCGUAGUGGAUGCGAAUCAAUCAGCGGUUGUAUUGGAUGCCUUCCCCAUAUGCGCAUCACACAUGCUUUGUAUUGCUUCGGUACAAGGUGCUGUUGAAAAAGAUUAUGCUUUGCUAGAGAACUCUGAAGUUGUAAAGGCUGGCGAAAUGUUGGAGCGUCCUGGUGAAGGCACGGAAUCGUUUGGUAAGGUUGAGUUUGUGCGUGUGCGUCCGAAAGCCGAUAAAAACAGCAACACCAGCAAAGAUGUUAAAGCCGAUGAACAGGCACAGGAGGUGAUAGCGGUGGAAACUGUUUCUGUGGAAGAAAAUGCAAAGGAAGCUGUUGAAAAAGCAGCAGACGGCACGAAGGCCGUAUCCAACGAACCGUUGGGCAAUAUAGAUGAGAUUAAGGUACGACAGGCGCUGCCAGGUGCACCACAACGUUUACAGGACGACGGCAGUGUGACUAAUGCGAAAGCGAACAUCAACAAUAACAACAUGCAGCCGUCCUUCUCGAAGCCCAUCAACCCGAUAUUGGGUACGAAGAAUCGUCAAGAGCCACCAAUGAGUUCGGUAGGACCGACCAUGUGGAUGGGCGAUCAGGAAGGUUGGCUGUACGUACAUAGUGCGGUAGGCCGUUGGCAUGAAUGUUUGCAUAAGGUUCUCCUGCCCGAUGCCGUCCUAGCGAUAGUGCAUGUGGAAUCGCGCGUUGUCGUAGCCCUAGCUAAUGCUCAGUUGGCAGUGUUUCGCCGCCAAACAGACGGUCAAUGGGAUCUGAAUAGUUAUCACCUAGUGACGCUCGGUGAUCGUAAUCAUUCGAUACGUUGUCUCUGUGUGGCCGGCGAACGCAUAUGGGCUGCUCAUCGCAAUAAGAUCUAUAUUGUCGAUCCGAUCUCAUUGAGCAUAGUCCAUUCGCUUGAGGCGCAUCCGCGUAAGGAGAGCCAAGUGCGACAAAUGGCUGCUACCGGUGCAGGUGUAUGGGUCUCCAUACGCUUGGACUCUACACUGCGUUUGUACAGUUCGCACACUUUCGAACACAAGCAGGAUGUGGAUAUUGAGCCGUACGUCUCGAAAAUGUUGGGCACAGGCAAAUUGGGUUUCUCUUUUGUGCGUAUUACCGCAUUGAUGGUGUCAUGUAACCGCUUGUGGAUCGGUACCAGUAACGGUGUCAUAAUUUCGGUGCCAUUAUCGGAGGGUCAAGGCAAAUUAACUGAUCCCAAUAGUCAAAUACCGUUAUGCUGCAUGGCUAAUGCUCAACUAUCUUUCCACGGCCAUCGUGAUGCGGUUAAGUUCUUUGUGUCCGUGCCGAUGCAGCCACAAGAUGGUGGACAACUGCAAUUCACAAACAAGCGGCCGGAUAUGCUGGUCAUGUGUGGCGGCGAAGGUUACAUAGAUUUUCGCAUAAGGCAAGAAAAAUCCAUAACCGAUCCUGGUGAUAAUGAGGCGCAUUUGAUAGUUUGGAAAGUUGAUACUACGUAUAAUUUGUAGUGAUUGAGGGAAGAAUGGAUAUUACAACGAACAAACGUGUUGCCCACACAACGCGUUCGCCAUAGAAGAUCUUGUACUCGUUGUCGUUAGUAGCUCGUGCUACUCAGCUUAUUGUUGCUGCUGCUGUUGCUGCUGCAUACAUUGUGAUCAGUGAAAUAAACGUGCCUUAAUCUCCUCUCACAAACAAUUACCCUUACAUGCACAUGCGCAGCACAGCAAAUAUAGUUGAUGCAACGACUGUGACCUGAUAACAUACCAAAAUAAGAUGACAAUGACAUGGAAAACAGUAUUCAACUGGAGCCAAACCAAACGAUUGAAAAUCGGGGCGACAAGAGUUAUUUAAUUGUGUGGC
This 4719-nucleotide unclassified non-coding RNA is filed under the name Ceratitis capitata (Mediterranean fruit fly). RNAcentral's name for it is "jNK-interacting protein 3, transcript variant X14". Lineage: Eukaryota; Metazoa; Arthropoda; Insecta; Diptera; Tephritidae. The record is from RNAcentral.